RNAcentral lists this ribosomal RNA (308 nucleotides) under uncultured Methanomicrobiales archaeon. RNAcentral's name for it is "partial 16S ribosomal RNA". It matches the Rfam family "Archaeal small subunit ribosomal RNA", at positions 750 to 1060 of the family's 1478-position model. Lineage: Archaea; Methanobacteriati; Methanobacteriota; Methanomicrobia; Methanomicrobiales. The record is from RNAcentral.
GCUGUAACGAUGCGCGCUUGGUGUUCAGCGUCACGAGGGUUUGAAGUGCCGAAGGGAAAGUGUUAAACCUGCCGCCUGGGAAGUACGGUCGCAAGGCUGAAACUUAAAGGAAUUGGCGGGGGAGCACCAAAGGGGGGGGAGCUUGCGGUUUAAUUGGAUUCAACGCCGGAAACCUCACCGGGAAGAACGGCGGAUUGAAGGCCAGGUUAAAGACUUUGCUGGAUUACCUAAAAGGAGGUGCAUGGCCGUCCCCAGUUCGUACUGUAAGGCUUCCUGUUAAUUCAUGAAACAACCAAAACCCCCCCCCA